Molecule: ribosomal RNA, 264 nt
Filed under: uncultured Pseudomonas sp.
Lineage: Bacteria; Pseudomonadati; Pseudomonadota; Gammaproteobacteria; Pseudomonadales; Pseudomonadaceae
Description: partial 16S ribosomal RNA
Rfam family: Bacterial small subunit ribosomal RNA
Source: RNAcentral
AGCACGUUAUGGUGGGCGACUCUAAGGAGACUGCCGGUGGACAACCGGAGGAAGGUGGGGAGUGACGUCAAGUCAUCAUGGCCCUUACGGCCUGGGCUACACACGUGCUACAAUGGUCGGUCAAAGGGUUGCCAAGCCGCGAGGUGGAGCUAAUCCCAUAAAACCGAUCGUAGUCCGGAUCGCAGUCUGCAACUCGACUGCGUGAAGUCGGAAUCGCUAGUAAUCGUGAAUCAGAAUGUCACGGUGAAUACGUUCCCGGGCCUU